This 301-nucleotide ribosomal RNA is filed under the name uncultured bacterium. Its description in RNAcentral is "partial 16S ribosomal RNA". It matches the Rfam family "Bacterial small subunit ribosomal RNA", at positions 509 to 809 of the family's 1533-position model. The record is from RNAcentral.
CAGCAGCCGCGGGAAAACGUAGGUGGCAAGCGUUGUCCGGAAUUAUUGGGCGUAAAGGGCUCGCAGGCGGUUUCUUAAGUCUGAUGUGAAAGCCCCCGGCUCAACCGGGGAGGGUCAUUGGAAACUGGGAAACUUGAGUGCAGAAGAGGAGAGUGGAAUUCCACGUGUAGCGGUGAAAUGCGUAGAGAUGUGGAGGAACACCAGUGGCGAAGGCGACUCUCUGGUAUGUAACUGACGCUGAGGAGCGAAAGCGUGGGGAGCGAACAGGAUUAGAUACCCGUGUAGUCCCUGUCUCUUAUAA